AUGCUCCUCCGCCUCCUCUCGUCCGCCUCUCGCGCCAUCGCAGCAAAACCUCACCCACCCCAAACCCUAGCCGCUGCUGCAGUUGGCGCCACCUCAACCACCCGGAAGCUCGCAGCCAUGGCGGGUAACCGGGAGGCGUUCCGCGUGGCGGUGGGGAACACGCUCGAGCGGCGCCUCUUCUACGUGCCGUCCUUCAAGAUCUACGGAGGCGUCGCGGGGCUCUAUGACUACGGGCCGCCAGGGUGCGCCGUCAAGGCAAACGUCCUCGCCUUCUGGCGCCAGCAUUUUGUGUUGGAGGAAGGGAUGCUUGAGGUAGACUGUCCAUGUGUGACACCAGAAGUUGUCUUGAAGGCCUCUGGCCAUGUCGAAAAGUUUACGGACUUGAUGGUUAAAGAUGAAAAGACAGGCAGCUGUUAUCGUGCUGAUCACUUACUCAAGGAUUUCUGUAAGGAGAAGCUCGAGAAUGACAAUACAUUGUCACCAGAGAAGGUAGAAGAAUUAAACCAUAUUCUUGCUGUCUUGGAUGAUCUGUCAGCAGAACAAUUAGGCGCUAAGAUUAAGGAGUAUGGGAUUGUUGCUCCUGACACAAAGAAUCUAUUGUCAGAUCCAUACCCCUUUAAUCUCAUGUUUCAGACUUCCAUUGGACCGUCAGGUUUGAGUGCAGGGUAUAUGAGGCCAGAGACAGCACAGGGUAUCUUUGUGAACUUCAAAGACUUGUAUUACUACAAUGGCAACAAACUACCCUUCGCUGCAGCCCAAAUCGGCCAGGCUUUCCGCAAUGAGAUAUCUCCCCGUCAAGGCCUUCUAAGAGUCCGUGAAUUUACGUUGGCGGAGAUUGAGCACUUUGUGGACCCAGAGGACAAGUCUCAUCCAAAGUUUAGUGAUGUUUCUGAUCUAGAGUUCCUGAUGUUUCCGAGAGAAGAUCAACUGACAGGAAGAUCUGCCACUAGACUUAGGCUCGGUGAAGCUGUUUCUGAGGGAACUGUGAACAAUGAGACCCUUGGCUUCUUUAUUGGAAGGGUCUAUCUCUUCUUGACGCAGCUUGGGAUUGACAAAGACCGUCUACGGUUCCGGCAGCAUCUGCCAAAUGAAAUGGCUCACUAUGCUGCUGAUUGUUGGGAUGCAGAGAUCGAAUGCUCUUAUGGGUGGAUCGAGUGUGUUGGAAUUGCUGAUAGGUCAGCGUAUGACUUGCGUGCCCACUCGGAUAAAAGUGGUGUUCCACUCGAAGCUCAUGAAAAAUUCGCAGAACCCAGAGAAGUGGAGAAGUUAGUUAUAACCCCAUCAAAGAAGGAGCUUGGUCUUGCGUUCAAAGGGAGCCAGAAGAUGGUUCUCGAAGCAUUGGAAGCCAUGGGUGAAACUGAAGCUCUGGGUAUGAAAGCAGCUUUAGAGUCUAAAGGGGAUGUUGAGUUUAAGGUCUGUACCCUUGGGAAGGAUGUUACCAUAAAGAGAAAUAUGGUUUCAAUUAACAUGGAGAAGAAAAAGGAACAUCAAAGGAAGUUCACUCCUUCUGUCAUAGAGCCAUCAUUUGGCAUAGGGAGAAUUAUUUAUUGCUUGUUCGAACAUUGCUUCUAUCAAAGGACUGGCAAGACAGAUGAUGAGCAGUUGAAUGUGUUUCGUUUUCCCCCUCUUGUUGCUCCAAUUAAGUGUACUGUGUUUCCACUGGUCAAGGUCGAGAAAUUUGAUGUUGUUGCCAAGAAAAUUUCAAAAGCUUUGACAACAGCAGGGAUUUCUCACAUUAUCGAUAUCACAGGCACUUCGAUUGGUAAGCGGUAUGCACGGACAGACGAAAUCGGCGUCCCCCUGGCGAUCACAGUCGACUCAACUACAAGUGUGACUGUCCGUGACCGGGACAGCAAGGAUCAGAUCCGUGUUGAGGUCGACGAGGUGGCUUUGGUUGUGAAGGAAGUGACCGAUGGGCAGAGCACCUGGGCAGACAUCAUGUGGAGAUACCCAGCACAUACCGCCUUGGCCACCGAUGAGGAAGAAGCUUCAGAAACCUGA
RNAcentral lists this ribosomal RNA (2001 nucleotides) under Triticum aestivum (bread wheat). RNAcentral's name for it is "partial small subunit ribosomal RNA". The record is from RNAcentral. Lineage: Eukaryota; Viridiplantae; Streptophyta; Magnoliopsida; Poales; Poaceae.